This 65-nucleotide transfer RNA is filed under the name Dipodomys ordii (Ord's kangaroo rat). It matches the Rfam family "tRNA". Rfam says of the family: Transfer RNA (tRNA) molecules are approximately 80 nucleotides in length. Their secondary structure includes four short double-helical elements and three loops (D, anti-codon, and T loops). The record is from Rfam by way of RNAcentral. Lineage: Eukaryota; Metazoa; Chordata; Mammalia; Rodentia; Heteromyidae.
GGUGGCUCAGUGGUAGAGUGCUUGCCUUGCAUGCAGGAGGCCCUGGGUUUGAUUCCUCAGUACCA